This 253-nucleotide ribosomal RNA is filed under the name uncultured bacterium. RNAcentral's name for it is "partial 16S ribosomal RNA". It matches the Rfam family "Bacterial small subunit ribosomal RNA", at positions 524 to 776 of the family's 1533-position model. The record is from RNAcentral.
UACAGAGGUCUCAAGCGUUGUUCGGAUUCAUUGGGCGUAAAGGGUGCGUAGGUGGCGCGGAAAGUCGGGUGUGAAAUUUCGGAGCUUAACUCCGAAACUGCAUUCGAUACUGCCGUGCUUGAGGACUGGAGAGGAGACUGGAAUUUACGGUGUAGCAGUGAAAUGCGUAGAGAUCGUAAGGAAGACCAGUGGCGAAGGCGGGUCUCUGGACAGUUCCUGACACUGAGGCACGAAGGCCAGGGGAGCAAACGGG